AAGCAAAAUAGUGAUAUGGAGCAAAACCCUAAAAACGGUACUCAGUUCGGAUUGAAGGCUGAAAUUCGCCUUCAUGAAGCUGGAAUUGCUAGUAAUGGCAGGUCAGCAUACUGCCGUGAAUACGUUCCCGGGCCUUGUACACACCGCCCGUCACACCAUGAGAGUUGGGAAUACCCGAAGCCUGUGAGCUAACUGUAAGGAGGCAGCAGUCGAAGGUAGAAUCAAUGAUUGGGUGAAGUCGUAACAAGGUACC
RNAcentral lists this ribosomal RNA (253 nucleotides) under uncultured bacterium. RNAcentral's name for it is "partial 16S ribosomal RNA". It matches the Rfam family "Bacterial small subunit ribosomal RNA", at positions 1247 to 1500 of the family's 1533-position model. The record is from RNAcentral.